GAUGAACGCUGGCGGCGUGCCUAAUACAUGCCAGUCGAGCGAACAGACGAGAGUGCUUGCACUCUCUGACGUUAGCGGCGGACGGGUGAGUAACACGUGGGUAACCUACCUAUAAGACUGGGAUAACUUCGGGAAACCGGAGCUAAUACCGGAUAAUAUUUAGCUUCGCAUGAAGCAAUAGUGAAGGACGGUUCUGCUGUCACUUAUAGAUGGACCCGCGGUGUAUUAGCUAGUUGGUGAGGUAACGGCUCACCAAGGCAACGAUACAUAGCCGACCUGAGAGGGUGAUCGGCCACACUGGGACUGAGACACGGCCCAGACUCCUACGGGAGGCAGCAGUAGGGAAUCUUCCGCAAUGGACGAAAGUCUGACGGAGCAAUGCCGCGUGAGUGAAGAAGGUUUUCGGAUCGUAAAACUCUGUUGUAAGGGAAGAACAAGUACGUUAGUAACUGAACGUACCUUGACGGUACCUUACCAGAAAGCCACGGCUAACUACGUG
RNAcentral lists this ribosomal RNA (499 nucleotides) under uncultured bacterium. RNAcentral's name for it is "partial 16S ribosomal RNA". It matches the Rfam family "Bacterial small subunit ribosomal RNA", at positions 28 to 507 of the family's 1533-position model. The record is from RNAcentral.